GGAUUAGAUACCCUGGUAGUCCACGCAGUAAACGAUGAGUGCUAGAUGUUGGGGAUCUCUCCUCAGUGUCGAAGCUAACGCGUUAAGCACUCCGCCUGGGAACUACGAUCGCAAGAUUAAAACUCAAAGGAAUUGACGGGGACCCGCACAAGCGGUGGAACAUGUGGUUUAAUUCGAUGCUACGCGAAGAACCUUACCAAGCUUUGACAUGUUUGUCGUACGGCUAGGAAACUAGCUGGUCAGUUAGGCUGGACUUUCACAGGUGCUGCAUGGCUGUCGUCAGCUCGUGCCG
RNAcentral lists this ribosomal RNA (292 nucleotides) under uncultured bacterium. RNAcentral's name for it is "partial 16S ribosomal RNA". It matches the Rfam family "Bacterial small subunit ribosomal RNA", at positions 775 to 1067 of the family's 1533-position model. The record is from RNAcentral.